GCCGGUAUAGCUCAGUUGGUAGAGCAUCUGUCUUGUAAACAGAAGGUCAGGGGUUCGAACCCCCUUGCCGGCUCCA
Molecule: transfer RNA, 76 nt
Filed under: Streptomyces sp. AA4
Lineage: Bacteria; Bacillati; Actinomycetota; Actinomycetes; Kitasatosporales; Streptomycetaceae
Also listed under: 4 other names
Description: tRNA-Thr
Rfam family: tRNA
About the family: Transfer RNA (tRNA) molecules are approximately 80 nucleotides in length.
Source: RNAcentral